RNAcentral lists this ribosomal RNA (389 nucleotides) under Chloroflexota bacterium. RNAcentral describes it as "bacterial SSU rRNA". It matches the Rfam family "Bacterial small subunit ribosomal RNA", at positions 1 to 407 of the family's 1533-position model. Lineage: Bacteria; Bacillati; Chloroflexota. The record is from RNAcentral.
CUGAUGACGAGUUUGAUCCUGGCUCAGGAUCAACGCUGGCGGCGUGCCUAAUGCAUGCAAGUCGAACGGUACCCCUUCGGGGGUGCCGUGGCGAACGGCUGAGGAACACGUGCGUAUCUACCUGCUCGUGGGGAAUAACGCGUGGAAACACGCGCUAAUACCGCGUACGCUUGUCUUCGACAAGGAAAGCCUGCGGGCGCGGGCAGCGGAGCGCGCGGCCCAUCAGGUCGAUGGCGGGGUAAUGGCCCACCAUGCCGAUGACGGGUCGCUGGUCUGUGAGGACGGCCAGCCAGACUGGGACUGCGAGACGGCCCAGACACCUACGGGUGGCAGCAGCAAGGAAUCUUCGGCAAUGGGCGCAAGCCUGACCGAGCAACGCCGCGUGGAGG